UGUCAUAAAAAAGUUCAGUUUGAAUCUGUUCAUCCAAAGAAAACUGAAGCAGAGAUUGUUUCUUCAAUAUUGGUGAAAAAAUAUAUCCAUAUUAGCUGCCGCUUUUUAUUUCUUCAGUGUAAAAGAUGGCUGUAGCUGCUUAUGCAUCAUUGGUUUCUCUUACUCAUGUCCUCGACAACAUCCACUACCGGGCUCAGCUUCGUCGCCUUCAUGUGGACAUAAAACAGAUUGAAUCUCUCCAAGAAGCUGUCAAUUUCUUGUUGGAGUUCCUUGAAAAGAACCAUAGAAGUCAAAGCCAGAAGGCUGAAGAUCUUUGGAAACAAAUAUCUGAAGUUAAUUUUGAGAUCGAAGAAAUUUUUGACUUACAUGUUGUGAGUCAACUUCGGAAGGAUUCUCAGGGAGAAAGUAGUGAUAUGGGCGCGAGAUCAUUCGGUGAAGAUUUAGACACUAUGAUCCAAAAGGUUGACCGCAUCAAGCGAGAGCUAUCAAUGGUGGAAGAGGUCGUGGUUGGAAGCAGAGCUUCUGUUCCUGCUGCUGGCUCUUCAACAGCUGCAUCCUCCGUUGGAAAGAAUAUUAUUGUCGGCCUUGAGGAACAUGUGACCAAGAUUAAGGGUGAGCUAGCUAGAGAUAAUGGCAAUCUCCAAAUCAUCCCAAUUGUUGGCAUGGGGGGUAUUGGAAAAACAACUCUUGCCAAAAAAGUUUAUGAAGAUAAAUAUGCUGUCGACCGCUUUGAUGUGCGCAUUUGGAUUACAAUUUCCCAGGAGUAUAGUGUCAAUGAGAUCCUCCAAGGUCUUAUAAACAAUGGAAAAGUUGAAAGACAUUGUGGAAAUUCAGAUGGACCUGGGGAGAUGUUGCGUAAGAAGCUAUACGGCAGAAGAUACUUAAUUGUUAUGGAUGACAUAUGGACUCUUCAAGCUUGGGAUGAUUUAAGGAGGUUCUUUCCGGAUAACGGGAAUGGAAGUCGAAUUAUUGUGACCACUAGGCUAUCACAAGUGGCUGGUUCAUUAGGCUCUCACGACCCCUAUCCAAUGACAUUUCUUGACACAAAUACAAGUUGGAGUUUAUUUUGCCAAACUGUAUUUGGAGAAGAAAAUUGUUCACAUCCAGAAUUGGAGCAAAUCGGAAGGGUGAUUGUCAAGAACUGUAGAGGGCUUCCUUUACAAAUUGCCGUUAUAGGAGGACUACUUGCAAAGUCUUGCAUGACGACAGAAUAUUGGGAAUCGGUUGCUGAAAAUGUAAGUUCCUUUGGCAAUUCAAGUGAUGGCGAGCAUUGUUUGAAUAUAUUACUUUUGAGUUAUAAUAAUCUGCCUAUAUAUCUCAAGCCAUGUUUCCUCUAUAUGAGAUCUUUCCGCGAAGAUGCUGAAAUUGAUGUCUCCUAUCUAAUCCGAGUAUGGGUUGAUCAAGGUUUCAUAACAAUAAAAGAAGAUAAAAGUUUGGAAGAACUUGCAAAGGAAUAUGUGAAUGAUCUUCUCGAUAGAAAUCUACUUUUUGUGCGUGACCGAGAGUUUGGCACUGAGGAAAUUCUAUCAUGCGGCAUCCAUGAUCUUCUACGAGACCUAUGCAUUAGUGAGUCUAAAAAAGAGAACUUUUUGUGUACUCCAAGAGAACAAGAGAUCAGUCCACAAUCUGAGGAAAGAGUGUGUUUCCUAUGUAGCGUUUCAGUGACAGAAACGAGAAAUUUCCUUGCACUUGACGUCAUUCCUCCAUCAGCUUCGCAUUGUAGUCCUCCUGUCUGUGGUCAUUGUAAAAUGACUUAUUCACAUAUGAAGGGACUUCGAUUCGUCAAGGUCAUGGAUAAAGAUGGUGUAGCUCAUGAUUCACUUGUGCAGCACACUAAAUUACGCUACGUUUAUGUUUCCAUGCAUAACCCUCCAAAGUUCAUAUCUCCUUCGACGCUACAUUUGCUAUGGAACCUUCAGAGUAUGAAAUUUAAGAAGUCAGAGGUGGUAGUUUUACCAUCCGAAAUCUGGGAGCUGCCGCAACUUAGAGUUAUUGAAUGCAAUUAUGUGGUUUUUCCAAAGCCUCCUAAUGCUCAUGUCGAAGAGAAAGAUUUCUUUAUUCUGAAGAAUCUGCAACUCCUUGGCUGUGCUAAGAAUCUUGAGUUCACCUGUGAGAUUCUCGAUGGAAUCCCAAAUUUGAAGGAACUAUGGAUAAAGUAUGAUAAGCAUAUGAGAGAGUCGGAUUCUUGUUUGAAUAAUCUUUCCCAAUUACAGAAACUUGAAGUUCUAUCAGUCAAAAACACAUUGCAAAACAUUGGCUAUCCAAAUUCACUCAAAAGGUUGGCUCUGAGGAAAUGUCGAAUUCCUUGGAGUGGUAUGUCAAUGGUUGGUUCGUUACCCAAUCUCGAAAUUCUUGUGUUGUGGGAUACUGCAGAAGGCUCUGAGUGGAAUCCAACUGAAGGGGAAUUUCUUCGAUUAAGAUUAUUGGCGAUUGCUGGUAGUGAUUUAGAACAUUGGGGAGCUGAUCAAGACCACUAUCCUGUGCUUGAGAAUCUUGUACUGUCUAACUUACCUUCAUUGGAAGAAAUCCCGUCAGGUGUUGGAGAUAUAGCAACACUGCAUAAAAUUAUUUUGCGAAAUUGCAGCAAGUCUGCUGUGGAUUCAGCAUGCCUAAUACUUGAGGAACAACGGAGCGUGGGAAAUGAUAUCCUUGAGAUUGAUGUCUCUGAUAAUUCUGACUAUGAAUUCGAAGACGAAGAUGAAGAUGAAGAUUAAGAUGAUGAUGAUGGUAUGUAUAUCUAAGACGGCUCUGAGUGGAAUCCAGCUGAAGGGGAAUUUCUUUGACUAAAAGUUUUGUUUAUUUGGGGUAGUGAUGUAGUACAAUGGAGAGCUGAUCAACACCAUUAUCCGAGGCUCGAGACUCUUGCAUUGUUUAACUUACCUUCAUUGGAAGAAAUCCCUUCGGGUGUUGGAGAUAUACCGACACUGCGUGAAAUAACUUUGCAAAAUUGCAGCGAGUCUGCCGUGGAUUCGGCAUGCCAAAUAUUAGAGGAACAACAGAGCAUGGGAAAUGAUAUCCUCAAGAUUGAUGUCUCUGAAGAAGACUCUGACUUUGAUGAUACAGAUGAAGAUGACGAGGCUGAGAGCUAAGAUGUAGACACCGACAAAGAUGAAGAUGAAGAUGAGUCUGAGAGCGAAGGUGUAGACACAGACACAGACACAGACAAAGAUGAUGAUGAAGAUUAUGCUGGUCGAUGAUUAAAUUCACUACAUCGACGAAAGAAUGAUGAGCAUGAAGCAGUACCAACAAAUGCUCAUUUAUCAGAAUAUGACCAUUACGGAGCAGCUGAAUAGGAUCCAUGCUCGAUUGGACCACUAUGAACCCGAUGAUGAUGCAAGGGCUCUUCCUGUCGCAUGAUGUAAGUUUCGACCUACUUAUAUUUGUACUUAUUUGUUCUAUUGACUUGAUACAA
Molecule: RNA transcript, 3412 nt
Organism: Andrographis paniculata
Lineage: Eukaryota; Viridiplantae; Streptophyta; Magnoliopsida; Lamiales; Acanthaceae
Gene name: putative late blight resistance protein homolog R1C-3
Exons: 3
Source: RefSeq, a predicted model, not a curated record